RNAcentral lists this signal recognition particle RNA (82 nucleotides) under Verrucomicrobiota bacterium. RNAcentral's name for it is "Verrucomicrobia bacterium signal recognition particle sRNA small type". It matches the Rfam family "Bacterial small signal recognition particle RNA". From Rfam's summary of the family: The signal recognition particle (SRP) is a universally conserved ribonucleoprotein involved in the co-translational targeting of proteins to membranes. Archaeal SRP consists of a 7S RNA and homologues of the eukaryotic SRP19 and SRP54 proteins. In most bacteria, the SRP consists of a 4.5S RNA and the Ffh protein (a homologue of the eukaryotic SRP54 protein). The record is from RNAcentral. Lineage: Bacteria; Pseudomonadati; Verrucomicrobiota.
CAUGGGCUCGAGGACUUACAAACCCCGCCAGGGCAGGAAUGCAGCAACGGUAGUAUGAUCCUUCUUGCCGUAGUUCUCUGGC